RNAcentral lists this ribosomal RNA (513 nucleotides) under uncultured bacterium. RNAcentral's name for it is "partial 16S ribosomal RNA". It matches the Rfam family "Bacterial small subunit ribosomal RNA", at positions 28 to 523 of the family's 1533-position model. The record is from RNAcentral.
GACGAACGCUGGCGGCAUGCCUAAUACAUGCAAGUCGGGCGAACAGAUGAAGUGCUUGCACUUCUGACGUUAGCGGCGAACGGGUGAGUAACACGUAAGGAAUCUACCUAUAAGCGGGGGAUAACAUUCGGAAACGGGUGCUAAUACCGCAUAAUAUCUUCUUCCGCAUGGAAGAAGAUUGAAAGACGGCUCUGCUGUCACUUAUAGAUGACCUUGCGGUGCAUUAGUUAGUUGGUGGGGUAACGGCCUACCAAGACGAGGAUGCAUAGCCGACCUGGGAGGGUGAUCGGCGACAUUGGGACUGGGACACGGCCCAAACUCCUACGGGAGGCAGCAGUAGGGAAUCUUCCGCAAUGGGCGAAAGCCUGACGGAGCAAUGCCGCGUGAGUGAAGAAGGCCUUCGGGUCGUAAAACUCUGUUAUAAGAGAAGAACAAAUUGUAGAGUAACUGCUACAGUCUUGACGGUACCUUAUCAGAAAGCCACGGCUAACUACGUGCCAGCAGCCGCCGUAA